This 115-nucleotide ribosomal RNA is filed under the name Cordylochernes scorpioides. Lineage: Eukaryota; Metazoa; Arthropoda; Arachnida; Pseudoscorpiones; Chernetidae. The record is from RNAcentral.
ACGGCCAUACCACAUUGAAAACACCGGGUCUGGUCCGAUCACCGAAUUUAAGCAAUGUCGGGCCCGGUCAGUACUUGGGAGGGUGACCACCUGGGAACACCUGGUGCUGUAGGCU